CGCUGGGAGGCCCGCGAGGCGCGAGGCCGGCGCGCGAGCCCCCGGGGGCGGGGCAAAAGAAGUUGGAUGAGUGUCCUGAAUUUACUACUCAGAGUUCCAGGAGGAAAUAUCCAGUGGUCUGACGGUCAUCUGAAUCCCCUCCCUGUGGGGCCUGAACCGGGCCCUUCUGUUCCCUGGAGAGUCACUCCUUUGCUCUGGUGAGUCUUUUCCCUUUUGCCCUUGUUCCAAAGAUACCUACUUUGUCAGAUGGAUUCCCUUCUUUCUCAGAAGGGUUUCGAAUUGAUCCAAGAGUCUCUGUACCCACGGAAACCAUUACAAGUUGCUGCUUUGGGAAGUCAGAUGAGGAAAAGGUCAUUUGUUGUGCCUGUUGACGUCUCUGGAGGAAGGCAGACAUUUAUUAGAUUGAUCUAUGUUUCAUUGUUUAUUGCAAAAAUGCUUUUUCCCUCCUUCUGGUUCAGGGUGGCAACUCAGAUACCUCCAGGGAACAGGCAGGUAAAGGCCUGCAGGUGAACCAAAGAUCGUGGGCCCCCUCUGAGUGAUCCCCGCCAGUGGAAAUGACCAAGUGGAAGUUUGUUUGUUUUUUGAGAUGAGACCAGAACACUGACCUGUGUGAAACUUUUUGAUCUUUAAAUGGUGACAGUGAGGGGCGCCUGGGUGGCGCAGUCGGUUAAGCGUCUGACUUCAGCUCAGGUCACGAUCUCGCGGUCCGUGAGUUCGAGCCCCGCGUCGGGCUCUGGGCUGAUGGCUUGGAGCCUGGAGCCUGUUUCCGAUUCUGUGUCUCCCUCUCUCUCUGCCCCUCCCCCGUUCAUGCUCUGUCUCUCUCUGUCCCAAAAAUAAAUAAACGUUAAAAAAAAAAAUUAAAAAAAAAAA
This is a long non-coding RNA of Acinonyx jubatus (cheetah), 870 nucleotides long. RefSeq lists it as uncharacterized. The record is from RefSeq and is a predicted model, not a curated record. NCBI's taxonomy places the organism in Eukaryota, Metazoa, Chordata, Mammalia, Carnivora, Felidae. The transcript has 2 exons.